Molecule: ribosomal RNA, 760 nt
Filed under: uncultured Prevotella sp.
Lineage: Bacteria; Pseudomonadati; Bacteroidota; Bacteroidia; Bacteroidales; Prevotellaceae
Description: bacterial SSU rRNA
Rfam family: Bacterial small subunit ribosomal RNA
Source: RNAcentral
GACGAACACUGGCUACAGGCUUAACACAUGCAAGUCGAGGGGAAACGACGGGGAAGCUUGCUUCCUUGGGCGUCGACCGGCGCACGGGUGAGUAACGCGUAUCCAACCUGCCUCUGACUGAGGGAUAACCCGUCGAAAGUCGGCCUAAUACCUCAUGGCAUCGUCUGCGGGCAUCCAACGACGAUUAAAGAUUUCAUCGGUCAGGGAUGGGGAUGCGUCUGAUUAGCUUGUUGGCGGGGUAACGGCCCACCAAGGCGACGAUCAGUAGGGGUUCUGAGAGGAAGGUCCCCCACAUUGGAACUGAGACACGGUCCAAACUCCUACGGGAGGCAGCAGUGAGGAAUAUUGGUCAAUGGGCGGGAGCCUGAACCAGCCAAGUAGCGUGCAGGAAGACGGCCCUAUGGGUUGUAAACUGCUUUUAUGCGGGGAUAAAGUGAGGGACGUGUCCUUCAUUGCAGGUACCGCAUGAAUAAGGACCGGCUAAUUCCGUGCCAGCAGCCGCGGUAAUACGGAAGGUCCUGGCGUUAUCCGGAUUUAUUGGGUUUAAAGGGAGCGUAGGCUGGAGAUUAAGUGUGUUGUGAAAUGUAGACGCUCAACGUCUGAAUUGCAGCGCAUACUGUUUUCCUUGAGUACGCACAACGUUGGCGGAAUUCGUCGUGUAGCGGUGAAAUACUUAGAUAUGACGAAGAACGCCGAUUGCGAAGGCAGCUGACGGGAGCGCAACUGACGCUUAAGCUCGAAGGUGCGGGUAUCAAACAGG